UACGUAGGAUCCUAGCGUUGUCCGGAUUUACUGGGUGUAAAGGGUGCGCAGGCGGACUUGUAAGUCAGGGGUGAAAUCUCGGCGCUUAACGCCGAAACUGCCUUUGAUACUAUAAGUCUUGAGUUUGGUAGAGAUCCGUGGAAUUCCGAGUGUAGCAGUGAAAUGUGUAGAUAUUCGGAAGAACACCAGCGGCGAAGGCAGCGGAUUGGGCCAAUACUGACGCUCAGGCACGAAAGCAUGGGGAUCAAACAGG
RNAcentral lists this ribosomal RNA (253 nucleotides) under uncultured bacterium. RNAcentral's name for it is "partial 16S ribosomal RNA". It matches the Rfam family "Bacterial small subunit ribosomal RNA", at positions 524 to 776 of the family's 1533-position model. The record is from RNAcentral.